This 268-nucleotide ribosomal RNA is filed under the name Anaerostipes hadrus. RNAcentral describes it as "partial 23S ribosomal RNA". It matches the Rfam family "Bacterial large subunit ribosomal RNA", at positions 1 to 266 of the family's 2925-position model. The record is from RNAcentral. Lineage: Bacteria; Bacillati; Bacillota; Clostridia; Lachnospirales; Lachnospiraceae.
GGUUAAAGUAGUAAGGGCGCAGGGUGGAUGCCUUGGCACUAAGAGCCGAUGAAAGACGUGAUAAGCUGCGAAAAGCUUCGGGGAGGAGCACAUAUCCAAUGAUCCGGAGAUAUCUGAAUGGGGAAACCCGGCAGAGGAAACCUCUGUCAGCGUGCAGUGAAUACAUAGCUGUACGUGGGGAACCCGGGGAACUGAAACAUCUAAGUACCCGGAGGAAGAGAAAGAAAAUUUAUCGAUUUCCAAAGUAGCGGCGAGCGAAAUGGAAAGA